Molecule: ribosomal RNA, 620 nt
Filed under: Drosophila micromyia
Lineage: Eukaryota; Metazoa; Arthropoda; Insecta; Diptera; Drosophilidae
Description: partial 16S ribosomal RNA
Rfam family: Bacterial large subunit ribosomal RNA
Source: RNAcentral
AUAAAGUCUAACCUGCCCACUGAAAAAUUUUAAAUGGCCGCAGUAUUUUAACUGUGCAAAGGUAGCAUAAUCAUUAGUCUUUUAAUUGAAGGCUGGAAUGAAUGGUUGGACGAGAUAUUAACUGUUUCAUUUAAAUUUUUUAUAGAAUUUUAUUUUUUAGUCAAAAAGCUAAAAUAAAUUUAAAAGACGAGAAGACCCUAUAAAUCUUUAUAUUUUAUUUAUUUUAAUUAUAAAGAUUAUUUUUAUUAUAAUAAGUUAAAAUAUUUUAUUGGGGUGAUAUUAAAAUUUAAAAAACUUUUAAUUUUUUAAACCAUUAAUUUAUGAAUAAUUGAUCCAUUAAUAAUGAUUAAAAAUUUAAGUUACUUUAGGGAUAACAGCGUAAUUUUUUUGGAGAGUUCAUAUCGAUAAAAAAGAUUGCGACCUCGAUGUUGGAUUAAGAUAUAAUUUUGGGUGUAGCCGUUCAAAUUUUAAGUCUGUUCGACUUUUAAAUUCUUACAUGAUCUGAGUUCAAACCGGCGUAAGCCAGGUUGGUUUCUAUCUUUAAAAAAUUAUAAUAUUUUAGUACGAAAGGACCAAAUAUUAAAAUAAUUAUAUUUUAAAUGAGAAUAUUAUUAAUUUAA